GAGCCAUCUUCGAACGCAGCUUAAAACCUUCCUGACGCGAGCUCAAUCCGUGUCCUAAUUGGCUGGAUUCGUGUUGUGGCCCCGCCUCGCGCGGACAUUUGAAAACGACUUCGUCAAGAAGAUAGGACCGAGGGAACUGAGAAAACAUCUAUCACCUUUCUCUCUGUAGACAUGGCUCCCAGGAAAAGGACCACGAGGCAGCGGAAGAACAACCAGAACAUGGAAAAACUGGACGUUUUCCUGGAGGACUUCGACAGCGAAG
Molecule: long non-coding RNA, 262 nt
Organism: Oryzias melastigma (Indian medaka)
Lineage: Eukaryota; Metazoa; Chordata; Actinopteri; Beloniformes; Adrianichthyidae
Exons: 2
Source: RefSeq, a predicted model, not a curated record